This 397-nucleotide ribosomal RNA is filed under the name uncultured bacterium. RNAcentral's name for it is "partial 16S ribosomal RNA". It matches the Rfam family "Bacterial small subunit ribosomal RNA", at positions 523 to 918 of the family's 1533-position model. The record is from RNAcentral.
AUACGUAGGUGGCAAGCGUUGUCCGGAAUUAUUGGGCGUAAAGCGCGCGCAGGUGGUUCCUUAAGUCUGAUGUGAAAGCCCCCGGCUCAACCGGGGAGGGUCAUUGGAAACUGGGGAACUUGAGUGCAAAAGAGGAUAGUGGAAUUCCAAGUGUAGCGGUGAAAUGCGUAGAGAUUUGGAGGAACACCAGUGGCGAAGGCGACUGUCUGGUCUGUAACUGACACUGAGGCGCGAAAGCGUGGGGAGCAAACAGGAUUAGAUACCCUGGUAGUCCACGCCGUAAACGAUGAGUGCUAAGUGUUGGGGGGUUUCCGCCCCUCAGUGCUGCAGCUAACGCAUUAAGCACUCCGCCUGGGGAGUACGGUCGCAAGACUGAAACUCAAAUGAAUUGACGGGG